AUAAGAAUGUAUUUUUUAACAAAGAAAGCAUAGACAACUCAGAAACGGCAAGCAAAGGUCAAUUUUCAGUAAGUGAUUCUUCUCUAAAACAGGAGAUAGACUAACUUGUCUGAUAGAAUAAGCCUCCCAGUACUCUGUACCCAAGUGGCAGAUACAGGGGGCUGGCAACACAAAUUUUGAAAGACACCAUUCAGAUCUUCAUCAAAUCCUUCAAAGAAACUUCAUAGCGGGUUGUGAGGAAAGAAGAACAACAAAGCAUGGGCCAAAAACUAAAAGAGAUGAAACAGGAGAACAAAUGGUCAUUUAAAAUGACGGUGAAAAGCCAGAACAGUGGAGUGUAUGUAAGAUCUUGUGACAGAACAUGUGUUGUAACCACCCUUACAAACAGUCUAGAAAAGGGCUGUACAGAAGAAAAAAACACUUGUAGAGGACACGAGAGCGUGGGAUGGAUGGAGGAGAUAUUCAGGGUGACCCAACAGUGCAGAUUGCUUCUUUCUCCUGUAUACAAGAAAUCAUGGAUUUCACCUCAUUGUUCCCUUGAGCUUCAUAGAAGGUUCUCCUAUUUUUCCUGUGCAUCAGGCAUUAUCAAUAUGAAUGAGUUUAGUUACAGAGGCAGGACAUCCAGG
Long non-coding RNA from Gallus gallus (chicken), 626 nucleotides. The record is from Ensembl. NCBI's taxonomy places the organism in Eukaryota, Metazoa, Chordata, Aves, Galliformes, Phasianidae.